This 226-nucleotide unclassified non-coding RNA is filed under the name plant metagenome. RNAcentral's name for it is "partial contains small subunit ribosomal RNA, internal transcribed spacer 1, and 5.8S ribosomal RNA". The record is from RNAcentral.
UUUCCGUAGGUGAACCUGCGGAAGGAUCAUUAAUUAGUACUUGUCGGCGGCUAGCUGAUGUAACUAUCAGUUAGUUCGUUUGAACAUUUACCCUGUCUUCUGCGUACCUAUUGUUUCCUCGGCAGGCUCGCCUGCCAGAGGACCCCCUUUCAACCUCUUUGAAAUAGUAAUCAGCGUCAGAAAAACAUAAUUGUUACAACUUUCAACAACGGAUCUCUUGGUUCUG